UACGGGGGGGGCAAGCGUUGUUCGGAAUUACUGGGCGUAAAGGGCUCGUAGGUGGCCAACUAAGUCAUACGUGAAAUCCCUCAGCUUAACUGGGGAACUGCGUCCGAUACUGGAUGGCUUGGAUUUGGGAGAGGGAUGCGGAAUUCCAGGUGUAGCGGUGAAAUGCGUAGAUAUCUGGAGGAACACCGGUGGCGAAGGCGGCAUCCUGGACCAACAUUGACGCUGAGGAGCGAAAGCUAGGGGAGCAAACGGG
Molecule: ribosomal RNA, 253 nt
Filed under: uncultured bacterium
Lineage: Bacteria
Description: partial 16S ribosomal RNA
Rfam family: Bacterial small subunit ribosomal RNA
Source: RNAcentral